GCUAUCACUUGUUUUCAGUGGAAAGGUGUUAUAGUGCUGUAACACUAUAAUGUUACAUUGCUAUAAUGUUAAUUUACACAAAAUGAUUUGUUAUCACCAAUAACCACAGCAGGAAGGGUUGUUGUUGUUUUUGUUUAAAAUCAAUUUAAAAGAAAUGAGUAUCUUUUUUAAAAAAAAAUUUUUAGCAAAAAGAAAGCAGUAUACAUAAAAAACAAGCAAACAUAGGUAUACAU
Podarcis lilfordi (Lilford's wall lizard) is the source of this 233-nucleotide non-coding RNA. The record is from the annotation of a GenBank genome assembly. Lineage: Eukaryota; Metazoa; Chordata; Lepidosauria; Squamata; Lacertidae.